GAUGAACGCUGGCGGCGUGCUUAACACAUGCAAGUCGAACGGAAAGGCCGAAGCUUGCUUCGGUACUCGAGUGGCGAACGGGUGAGUAACACGUGGGUGAUCUGCCCUGUACUUCGGGAUAAGCUUGGGAAACUGGGUCUAAUACCGGAUAUGACAAUCUCUUGGAUGGGGUUGUGGAAAGCUUUUGCGGUAUGGGAUGAGCUCGCGGCCUAUCAGCUUGUUGGUGGGGUAAUGGCCUACCAAGGCGUCGACGGGUAGCCGGCCUGAGAGGGUGUACGGCCACAUUGGGACUGAGAUACGGCCCAGACUCCUACGGGUGGCAGCAGUGGGGAAUAUUGCACAAUGGGCGCAAGCCUGAUGCAGCGACGCCGCGUGGGGGAUGACGGCCUUCGGGUUGUAAACUCCGUUCGCAACCGACGAAGCUUUUUGUGACGGUAGGUUGAGAAGAAGCACCGGCUAACUACGUG
Molecule: ribosomal RNA, 467 nt
Filed under: uncultured bacterium
Lineage: Bacteria
Description: partial 16S ribosomal RNA
Rfam family: Bacterial small subunit ribosomal RNA
Source: RNAcentral